GACGGAGGGUGCAAACGUUGUUCGGAUUUACUGGGCGUAAAGCGUGUGUAGGCAGCCGCGCAAGUCGGAUGUGAAAGCCCUGGGCUCAACCUAGGAAGUGCAUUCGAAACUGCGAGGCUGGAGUCCUGGAGAGGAAGGCGGAAUUCUCGGUGUAGAGGUGAAAUUCGUAGAUAUCGAGAGGAACACCGGUGGCGAAGGCGGCCUUCUGGACAGUGACUGACGCUGAGACGCGAAAGCGUGGGGAGCAAACAGG
This 253-nucleotide ribosomal RNA is filed under the name uncultured bacterium. Its description in RNAcentral is "partial 16S ribosomal RNA". It matches the Rfam family "Bacterial small subunit ribosomal RNA", at positions 524 to 776 of the family's 1533-position model. The record is from RNAcentral.